AAUCAACGCUGGCGGCGUGCCUAACACAUGCAAGUCGAACGCGAAAGUGGAGCAAUCCAUGAGUAGAGUGGCGAACGGGUGAGUAACACGUGGGUGACCUGCCUUCGAGUGGGGGAUAACGUCCCGAAAGGGACGCUAAUACCGCAUGACAUCCUGCCUUUGAAGAGGUGGUGAUUAAAGCUGGGGAUCGCAAGACCUGGCGCUUGGAGAGGGGCCCGCGUCCGAUUAGCAGUUGGUGGGGUAACGGCCUACCAAGGCGACGAUCGGUAGCCGGCCUGAGAGGGCGGACGGCCACACUGGGACUGAGACACGGCCCAGACUCCUACGGGAGGCAGCAGUGGGGAAUUUUGGACAAUGGGGGCAACCCUGAUCCAGCCAUGCCGCGUGCGGGAAGAAGGCCU
This 401-nucleotide ribosomal RNA is filed under the name uncultured bacterium. RNAcentral's name for it is "bacterial SSU rRNA". It matches the Rfam family "Bacterial small subunit ribosomal RNA", at positions 29 to 417 of the family's 1533-position model. The record is from RNAcentral.